CCCCAGGUCCGCAGAGCGAAGACCCACCGAACCCCGUCAGGGCCGUGCAGGCAGCAGCGGUACGUGCGGCGAUCGCGGCUGCGGUUCACCUGGGGCAU
RNAcentral lists this signal recognition particle RNA (98 nucleotides) under Gammaproteobacteria bacterium. RNAcentral describes it as "signal recognition particle sRNA small type". It matches the Rfam family "Bacterial small signal recognition particle RNA". From Rfam's summary of the family: The signal recognition particle (SRP) is a universally conserved ribonucleoprotein involved in the co-translational targeting of proteins to membranes. Lineage: Bacteria; Pseudomonadati; Pseudomonadota; Gammaproteobacteria. The record is from RNAcentral.